AAAAUUGCUGCAAAAAGAUGGGCAACCAUACAACCGUACAUCUUUGAAAAGCAGAAGUAGAGCCUCUUGCACAACCAACAAGAAUGCAGCAAGUAGCUUUUGGAUGGUAAGUCCACAACAAAACCCUUGUCUUUUCCAGCAGCCAUUGUACAGUGCAUUUAGAGGUAAAACCAGCUGACCAAACAUGCUGGAGCUC
Long non-coding RNA from Xiphophorus hellerii (green swordtail), 196 nucleotides. RefSeq lists it as uncharacterized. The transcript is spliced from 3 exons. Lineage: Eukaryota; Metazoa; Chordata; Actinopteri; Cyprinodontiformes; Poeciliidae. The record is from RefSeq and is a predicted model, not a curated record.